CAGUAGCCGCGGUAAAACGGAGGGUGCAAGCGUUAAUCGGAAUUACUGGGCGUAAAGCGUGCGUAGGCGGUUCGUUAAGUCUGUUGUGAAAGCCCCGGGCUCAACCUGGGAAUGGCAAUGGAUACUGGCGAGCUAGAGUGUGUCAGAGGAUGGUGGAAUUCCCGGUGUAGCGGUGAAAUGCGUAGAGAUCGGGAGGAACAUCAGUGGCGAAGGCGGCCAUCUGGGACAACACUGACGCUGAGGCACGAAAGCGUGGGGAGCAAACAGGAUUAGAUACCCCUGUAGUCCCUGUCUCUUAUAC
This 301-nucleotide ribosomal RNA is filed under the name uncultured bacterium. Its description in RNAcentral is "partial 16S ribosomal RNA". It matches the Rfam family "Bacterial small subunit ribosomal RNA", at positions 509 to 807 of the family's 1533-position model. The record is from RNAcentral.